GGGAGGCUGGGUCUAGCCGCUCCAGUCCCAGAGGGGCAGAUUUGCAGCGCGGGCCUCGCGGAUGCGAACUGGCUCAGCGAGCGCAAGUGGCACACGCACAGCCAGCAGCCGCGCGUGGGCUCUGGCCUCGCGCUAGCUGCAAGUCGCGGGCUGAACCUGCUGGAGCUCGGCCAGGCCCACGGUCCUGCACGGGCGGGCGCCUCUCGGGGCCGAGCGCCUCCCCUCGGCCCUCGCUUCCGCCCGAGACCCGGCGGCUGCCCUGAUCCUGCCGAAAGGGGGCAGCAGCCGGCGACGUACAGGAACAGCGCCCUGCUGGCCCUGGUGAUCGGGCUACCCUGAAGGUUUAGGGUGGAAAGCCAGACCUACAGUCUCGAGGUGCACAGCAGCAGCUGCACAACCUUGACCUUGCGACCUUGGGUUUCCUUGAGCCAGGAAUGGGCCAAGCCAUCUAUGCACCUACCAGCGCCUGUAAACUUAGCGUACAGCAAAAAUUCAGAGAAGUACUUGGGAACUUCUGAUCCGGGAGUCCUUGGAUCACCGUGGGAAGGAUCCCGAGGCAUUUCGAAAGUGGAAACUGGGCGGAUGAAGCCAGUUCUGCCCGGGAGCAAGCGCAGCAAAGCGUCGGUGGUGCAGCCGGUUCCGGAGCUCGGAGCUGGGGCAGCGCCGAUUGGUUUCGACCCAGACACAUUGCUAGGGCGCUGGAUCUUCCUGUAACCUCCCGCGUUUGGUAUGCCAGAACACUGAGUGCUCUCAGUUGUGGAAGACACAUUAUAUGCAUCUUCUCCAAAUCCACAUUUCCUCAAAAUGAGCACUUUUCCCUCCGACUCUUAAAUUAUUUUACUAGGGCAAUAUUUUAUAAAGAAAAAUCUCUUGUAAAAAUUUAGAGACUAGUACAGUCGUCUCUAAAUAGCUUUGAAAAAUGGUAACUGUUAAAUUAUCCAAAUGAAAAAGUAUGUAAGAGGCAAGAUUGUGCCUUUCUUCUAUAAAUCUCAUGUACAAUUAAAAAACCUAAUUAAUCCUUGAAAUACCUUUGGAAGUAAAGGGAAGAAUCAUUCUGUAAUUACAGAAUUUGUAACACUAUGACACCGUGGUGAUUAUAUUUUAUUACAAUGAUGAACAAAACAUUGAUGAUGUCUAAUUUUAAUGUAAUUUUUCUGAUACUCUAAUCAAUUUUAGAAAUGCAGCAAUUUUAGAAAUACAACCAAAGGAAGACUUUGAGAACAUAUUUGUCAGAAAUUUCAUUAACACAGGAGGUUUCUAACAGGAUGUAAGAUUACAGACCUUUCCUAAAUAAUACUACAAGUAAGGCAGUAGCAAUUUGUAGGAAAAAUAUUUAAGAGGGACCAGGAGAAAAACAGAAGAUGAGGAAAAGAUUAGCCUGUGGUCCAGGUAGGGGAGUGACCUCUGAGUAAAUCCAAGUGAGAGGAUUUCCAAGUUGGGCUCAAAUGCAUGGGAGAAACCAGAGGUGCAGCUGCUCCUGUGGACAGCCCUGCAGCCCCUGACGCCUCGGCUAGGGCUCUAAGUAGGAUCUGAGAAUGCAGACUGCUCUUUGUACCUAAAGAUAAACCUGAAUAGUAAUUAAAUUUGCCAUGGACCAACACUGCCUAUAAGCAAUUGCAUGCUGAGCAUGUGGGUAUUUUAGUCUAUGUUUUACAGGGGCAAGACUCUACCAAAGUACCCACCACAAAUGUUUUCCUUAAAAAAAAUUUGCCACCAAUUGGCAAUAACAGGAAUUGUCAGUAAUUUCAACGUGCAAAGAAAUAUCUUGUUUUAUAACACAGUGUGGCUUCUGUUAGUCAUAAUUGCUAUCAUUUCUUGUGCCACACAUAAGGAAGAUAUUGUUUUAUAGAGGUUCUGAGAGUUUAAGCUGCUUUGCUAAAUUUGCAUUUUCUUCUUCUAAAGCCCAGGCCUUUUACACUAUCCUAACAUUGGAAUGUAUCCUUGUAUUGGGGAGCAGCUUUUGUAUUCUCAGAAGUCUAGUGACUGAACAAAAAUAAACUUAUUUUUAUUUGAAGAGUCUACGACCAAGUUAAAAAAAUGGGACAAAACUCUUCCAUGCCAUAGAGGAUUCCAACUCUGAGUUUCUGUAUAAAAAGGUUUAGGAAGUAUUAUUGAGGUAGGAAGGAUUCCACUUAUUCUAAAUUUUCAGAAAUCUAAACAGAAACAGUACGAUUACUGUAUGCAGAGAUUCUAUAUUUUGCUUUGCCUAUUAUAUAAAGAGCUAUGCAGUCAAUCUAAAAUAUGAAAAAAAUUGUUACUUGAAAAAAAUGUAGUUUGUUUGUUAGACAAUUAUUUUUAAUUAUAUUAGACCCAUGGAAGGUUUAUAAAAAUGAUAUUAAAUAUUAAAGGGGAGACUUUGGACCUGAAAAGGAAACACUGAUACAUGGAAAAAUCAAUUACGAUAGUUAUCCUGUAUGUUAGUUUUGCCUCUAAAUAGAAGAUCUCUACAUAUAAAGGAUUUUUGUUGUGGUUGGGAAUUUUAUAUUGUAUUUUUACAAACACAACACAUUGUUAUGUGAAGAGCACUAGUGUAAAUUUGUCAAAUUUAAAUUACCUGCAUUUGGAGUUAUAUAGGGAUGGAGUUUGGAAAUCAAGCAAUAGGAUACAGUGUUGCUAGCACUACCUGAUUGCUAUGUUUUCUCUGGGCAGGUGAUUCUUAAAUAUUGCAUUUUAGAAUCCAAUGCAGAUUUUGCUUAGGGAUUUAUGUGGAUUUUAUCUACAUUAGAAAUUAAAAUUCUAAAAAUGUUUAACAUAUUUAUUUAGUUAUAAUAAGCUUAUUACAUAUUAAUAAAAGGCCAUGUUUUAUGAAAAAUAACUAUGUUCACUCCCCCAGUUGAAAAAAAUAUUGUGUUCACUUUUCAUUGCGCUGACAAAGUACUUGACAUAAAUGACUUGAAAGGAAGAAAGGUUUAUUUUGGCUCAGAGUUUCCGUGGUCAGCUGCCCAAUUGCUUUUAGGCCUGUGAUAAGGCAGAAACAUCAUGGCGCCAGGACGUGGUAGACGAAAGCUACUCUCCUUAUGGUAGUCAGGAAGUAGAAAGAGAACAGAAAAAAUCUCAAUAGGUAGGGACCAGAAGUUAUCCCCAGGGUAAUGCCUCCAUGCCUCACUUCUCCAUUUCCUCCCAGUAAUACCAUCAAAUUAUAAUCUUAGCAACACAUUAAUGUAAUUGAUGAAGUUAAGGGCUUCAUAAUACAAUCACUUCCCAAAAGAAAAAACCAGGCACACGAGCUUACAUAGUGAGUGGUAUCUCUUAUAGGAGAAACCCAAAAUACAAAUAAAGAGAAAAAUAAAAGAUAGAUGAUAGAAUACAGAGAAAUAGGUGUUUACAAAUGGGAAAGGGACCAGGAGAUGGAGGGAAAGGUAAGGAAAAGGGAAGAGAUGAUUAAGACGCAAACAAACAAAAACCCACCAGCAACCAAGACUUCAAAACAAAUGACAUUUUGAGGGAACAUUUUAAUACAAACUAUAGCAAAUGUCAUUUUCCGUUUACAAAUCUCUCUAACAUCUGAUUUACCAGAGGCAACUGCAUUACUGUAUUUGUGCCUGUCUUCUGUAUAUUGUGGUAUGUUGUGUAGACUGAAGUAUAUGAAAAAGAUCUGGUCUCAAAGGAUAUACAGUUGAAAAGGAAGGAAUAUUUAAAUAGCUCUUUCACCUAAUAGUGAAAAGUCUUUGAUGUUACUCCCAAAUCCUCCAAGUGGUAAUUUAAAAAAACUUGUUGCAAUAUGGGAGUUUAAUUUACAUCAGUAAACUUUUCAUACUUUUUUAGGUUAAAAGCCAGUGGUUCAUUGACUGUAUCUCUCGUCCAGGCACUGUUUAUAAUCCAUUGAUCAUUUGGAAUACAUUGAUCAUUUGCACACAUUGAUCAUUUGGAAAUUAUCGGUUUACUGAAUUAGGCUUAUCUUUCAAAAUGCUGUGUGAUUCACCGCACAUUAUUAAAAAUAUAAUUUUCAUUAGGAAAAUUUUUACAUAUUAGGAUAAUACAAAUUUUCCAAUAUUCUCAUUUUUGCCUGCCCAUAAGUUAAAAUUUUAAUUAUUAGUAUAAAGUAUUGGCAGUUGUUUUCCUUGAAGGAACAGGCUCACUUUGUUUAUUUCUGAGAAAAUAUCUGCCACAUAUUCAAAGCUGAAUAGCCAUAGUUUGUCUGUCAAUCAGUUCUUUCAAACAAAAAUUAUGUUCUAUAAAAUAGUGAAUAGUUAAACUUGAGCUUGACUGUACCAGCCCUUUCCUUAGACAACUGUCAUAGUUUUGUAUAGCAGAAACAAUUUAUUUUAUCCCACAGAAUAUUAAAAAGAUGUUCCCUGAGUGGAGUGAGGAUCAUUAAGAUUUGAUAAAAUUAGUUAUCUUUAUUGCUUUGUCAAUCACGUUCUUGAAUAAAACUGGCUGCUUUUUUGUUACUGAAAAUGUGUGUUAAUGAAAAACCAGGUACUACACAGUACUCCUUUAUCUGUGGUUUUAUUUUCUGAAGUUUUGCUUUCUGUGGUUUUGGUUACUUAAGGUCAGCUGUGGUCUGAAAAUAUUAAAUGGAAAACUCCAGAAAUAAACAAUUCAUAAGUUUCAUAAUGUGUGUUGUUCUGAAUAGCGCGAUGUAAUUUUGUGUCAGU
Molecule: long non-coding RNA, 4598 nt
Filed under: Cavia porcellus (domestic guinea pig)
Lineage: Eukaryota; Metazoa; Chordata; Mammalia; Rodentia; Caviidae
Description: lncRNA (ENSCPOG00000032400.1)
Source: RNAcentral